UACGUAGGGUGCGAGCGUUAAUCGGAAUUAUUGGGCGUAAAGGGCGCGUAGGCGGCGAUUCAAGUGACGGGUGAAAUCCCUCGGCUUAACCGAGGAACUGCCUGUCAGACUGGAUUGCUUGAGGCCGGGAGAGGCGAGUGGAAUUCCCAGUGUAGCGGUGAAAUGCGUAGAUAUUGGGAGGAACACCAGUGGCGAAGGCGGCUCGCUGGACCGGUUCUGACGCUGAGGCGCGAAAGCGUGGGGAGCAAACGGG
RNAcentral lists this ribosomal RNA (253 nucleotides) under uncultured bacterium. RNAcentral's name for it is "partial 16S ribosomal RNA". It matches the Rfam family "Bacterial small subunit ribosomal RNA", at positions 524 to 776 of the family's 1533-position model. The record is from RNAcentral.